AACUGCUACAACAGUCAUAGCAGAAACACUCACAUGGCAGCCCUGUUAGAUUCUAAUGAAUCUGCAAAUUCUGCU
This 75-nucleotide ribozyme is filed under the name Crocodylus porosus (Australian saltwater crocodile). RNAcentral's name for it is "Mammalian CPEB3 ribozyme (ENSCPRG00005003652.1)". It matches the Rfam family "Mammalian CPEB3 ribozyme". Rfam says of the family: The mammalian CPEB3 ribozyme is a self cleaving RNA located in the second intron of the CPEB3 gene which belongs to a family of genes regulating messenger RNA polyadenylation. This ribozyme is highly conserved and found only in mammals. There is currently only one other known self cleaving ribozyme in mammals, the CoTC motif. Lineage: Eukaryota; Metazoa; Chordata; Crocodylia; Crocodylidae. The record is from RNAcentral.